AAGAGUGGGCUGACUUGGCUGGGAACAGCCUCAAUACAUUCUGCAUUUGAUCUUUUCUCUCACUUUCUUCUUUAGGUUCCUGCCUUUGUUCUUGCCCAGUUCACACCCAGGCUGCAGACCCUCCCUUACUCUUGGUUAAUGUGCAUAUGCAGAACCCAGUGAUCAAGACAAAUUCUACCCAAUGAUGGCAUUGCUCAUUACCUCCACCCCAGGAAGCUCUUCCUGCCAUUAAUACAGCACUGAGGUGUGCUGUUUCUUUAAUCCUGGACCACAAAGAGCAGACAGUGUAUCCAGAUGUGGACUCUGAACAAUUGCUGCAGCCCAACCCCACUGACCACACAGGAUCUGCUCUUCGUUGCCACCGUAGGUCUGGGGUGGAGCCCUGCCAAGGAUGAUGCCCCAAACAGAAGCUCUUCACAGCUUUCAUUUCACUGGGAGGCUGUGACAAGGAGAUGGGAGAGGGCUGAAGCCAGGCCCUCGGUAAAUGUGAGCAAAUGUGUGAGGCAGGACACUGCAGAGUCGGAGAAGAUGAGCAAGUCCUAAACACAGCACUGCAGGAUGGAGACAGACCCGUGAUUCUAUAAGGAAAGGUGCCAUUUCUGACGCUUCCUCCUUUUCUCUUCCUCCAGGGUACUUUCUUAGGUACAAUCAGUAUUGACAAAU
This is a non-coding RNA of Macaca mulatta (Rhesus monkey), 663 nucleotides long. The record is from RefSeq and is a predicted model, not a curated record. Lineage: Eukaryota; Metazoa; Chordata; Mammalia; Primates; Cercopithecidae.